This 65-nucleotide transfer RNA is filed under the name Osmylidae sp. EMHAU-20151229-16. Its description in RNAcentral is "tRNA-Asp". The record is from RNAcentral. Lineage: Eukaryota; Metazoa; Arthropoda; Insecta; Neuroptera; Osmylidae.
AGAAAAUUAGUUAAAAUAUAACAUAAAUAUGUCAAGUUUAAAUUACUAAAAAUUAGUAUUUUCUG